Molecule: ribosomal RNA, 253 nt
Filed under: uncultured bacterium
Lineage: Bacteria
Description: partial 16S ribosomal RNA
Rfam family: Bacterial small subunit ribosomal RNA
Source: RNAcentral
UACGGGGGGGGCAAGCGUUGUUCGGAAUUACUGGGCGUAAAGGGCUCGUAGGUGGCCAACUAAGUCGGACGUGAAAUCCCUCGGCUUAACCGGGGAACUGCGUCCGAUACUGGUUGGCUUGAGUUUGGGAGAGGGAUGCGGAAUUCCAGGUGUAGCGGUGAAAUGCGCAGAUAUCAGGAGGAACACCAAUGGCGAAGGCAGCACUCUGGGACGUGACUGACGCUGAGACGCGAAAGCGUGGGGAGCAAACAGG